CAAACACGACUCAGCCCAGGGCAAGCUGUUGAGAAGCCAUGGAGAUGUUCCGCCUCAUUUCAACAAUUAGUGGAUUAUCCUUAUGCCAUUUGAUUAUCUUUGUUAUAGCCUUGUGCGCUUUACUGAAGCCUAAUUCCCGCUGAUUUCAAUGGCAAAUAAGAGCACUCCCAGAUUUGGAUUUGCCAGCUGAAAUGUGAAGGUGACAUGGAGCAGAGGGGUGAUGAACAGCCCAACAAACCAGGGGUGAAGGCAGCAUCUUUCCCUGCAUGGCCCUUCCCAUAACAGGCUUCUGGGAGGAACACAAAGGCACUUCCAGAGGAGCAUAGCUCUUGGUUUUAGGACAUCUCUGCUUUGCUGAUCAACAUGCCAGUGCCUUCUUCAGUGGAACAACACUCCUUUAUCCUGGAGAGAAUCUGUCCCAAAAGACUGAGGAGAGAACAUUUCCAUCCUGAAAGGUGCACUGGAGUUGGAUUCUUUCCACAGACUUUACAACAGAAGGGGUUCCCUGUGGCAAUUUUGAAGGAAAGGAACAAAAAUAAAGCAGAUCACCUCUCUGUUGAGGGCAGACAAUAGAAAUGACUGUGAUUCAGAGCCAUUAUUUGGGGUUUUUUUUCCAAUAUGUGUUUUCCAAGACUACCAGAGGUUCUGCUGUCAGUCCCCAAGGCUGUUUAUCCAGCCACUGCCCACCCAGCACUGAAAAUUGUUUAAUUGCACUCAAGUGAAAACUGCCAGGGGGCAUCUGGCCUCUCUUGGCUUAGCAGUGGAACGCUCUACUCUCAUCAACCUGCUCUAUUUAAUUUAUUUUUUGUUUUUUUAAAGCAGAUACUUGGCAUUUUGAGAACAUUCCAGUAUUUCUUACUUCAUGCAAAGCUUCAGACAAAAAAAGAGGCCAGGGUGCCAAUAGCCCCUGCUCUUGGGGUGAGGGGAGAAAGGGCUCUCGAGUGGCUGGGAUUGCAGGAGAUGCUCUGCUGGUUGCCUCCUCGUUUGCUUGGGCUCUCCUUAAUCUUCAGCUAUGAUUUGAAAGGCAAUCUCGAAAUUAUUUUGGUAGGAAUGAUUUGAU
This 1060-nucleotide long non-coding RNA is filed under the name Parus major (Great Tit). RNAcentral's name for it is "lncRNA (ENSPMJG00000014435.1)". Lineage: Eukaryota; Metazoa; Chordata; Aves; Passeriformes; Paridae. The record is from RNAcentral.